GCUGCCCCUCUGAACGACCCGUGAACGCGUUAAGUACAAACAUCCCGGGGGGGUGAGGGUGCGUCCGCGCCCCGAGCCCCCUCGGCGCCCUUGCGUGCGCGACCGCACCCGCUCGCCCCCCCCCGGGCGGGCGGGAUGCCCGGUCGCGUCGCUAGCGGCCGAACAACGAACCCCCGGCGCGAGUCGCGCCAAGGAAUCGGAAAGACGACGAGGGGCUCGUCCGCUGCCCGUCGCCCCGUCCGCGGUGAUCGUGCGGGCAGCGGCGCGUCUCCUCCGUCGCGAAAAAUACGAAACGACUCUCGGCAACGGAUAUCUCGGCUCUCGCAUCGAUGAAGAACGUAGCGAAAUGCGAUACUUGGUGUGAAUUGCAGAAUCCCGUGAACCAUCGAGUCUUUGAACGCAAGUUGCGCCCCAAGCCAUUAGGCCGAGGGCACGUCUGCCUGGGUGUCACGCAUCGUCGCCCCCUCCGGACCCUUAGCCCCUCGGGGCUAGGUGGGGGCGGAAAAUGGCCUCCCGUGCGCUCCCCGCUCGCGGUUGGCCUAAAACAGAGUCCUCGGCGACGACGGCGCCGCGACGAUCGUUGGUGACGCCUCGAGCGCGCCUCGUCCACGGUCGCGUGCGCUUUCGUUCGGCCGGACCCAUCGAGAGACCCUUUCGGCGUCGCACGAUCGAUGCCCGCGUCGCGACCCCAGGUCAGGCGGGACUACCC
This 709-nucleotide ribosomal RNA is filed under the name Eriotheca dolichopoda. Its description in RNAcentral is "eukaryotic LSU rRNA". The stretch from base 295 to 450 matches the Rfam family "5.8S ribosomal RNA". Lineage: Eukaryota; Viridiplantae; Streptophyta; Magnoliopsida; Malvales; Malvaceae. The record is from RNAcentral.